AGGGAAAUAGCUCAGUGGUAGAGUGUGUGCUUAGCAUGCAUGAGGUCUUGGGUUCAAUUCCCAGUACCUCUA
RNAcentral lists this transfer RNA (72 nucleotides) under Camelus bactrianus (Bactrian camel). It matches the Rfam family "tRNA". From Rfam's summary of the family: Transfer RNA (tRNA) molecules are approximately 80 nucleotides in length. The record is from Rfam by way of RNAcentral. RNAcentral also lists the same sequence under 2 other names. Lineage: Eukaryota; Metazoa; Chordata; Mammalia; Artiodactyla; Camelidae.